AGUACCCCAGGUCAUCUUAGGUUUCAUUACAUACAGUCGAGAAGAACGACUGAACAUAAGAGCAGCGUCAACUCACCACCAGUACGACCAAGAAUAUGAUUUUCACGAAGCGGAUCCUGUGUUCUGCCUUUCACCCAGGACAACGGAAUGGAUCCCAGCCGGCGACCCCAAAAAAACGACUUCGUAAAAGGGGGAAACGGAGCGGUCUUCUGGUCAGACUCCGGAGACGGGCACAUCGUGUACCACUCCCUAGCAUUCUUCUCGCCAAUGUCCAGUCUCUUGACAACAAGGUUGAUGAAAUCCGAGCAAGGGUAGCAUUCCAGAGGGACAUCAGAGACUGUAACGUUCUUUGCUUCACGGAAACAUGGCUCACUGGAGAGACGCUAUCGGAGUCAGUGCAGCCAACUGGUUUCUCCACGCAUCGCGCAGACAGAAACAAACAUCUUUCUGGUAAGAAGAGGGGCGGGGGCAUAUGCUUCAUGGUUAACGUGACGUGGUGUGAUCAUAACAACAUACAGGUACUCAAGUCCUUCUGUUCACCUGAUUUAGAAUUCCUCACAAUCAAAUGUCGACCGCAUUAUCUACCAAGGGAAUUCUCUUCGAUUAUAAUCACAGCCGUAUAUAUUCCCCCCCAAGCAGACACAUCGAUGGCUCUGAACAAACUUUAUUUGACUCUUUGCAAACUGGAAUCCAUUUAUCCGGAGGCUGCAUUCGUUGUGGCUGGGGAUUUUAACAAGGCUAAUCUGAAAACAAGACUCCCUAAAUUUUAUCAGCAUAUCGAUUGCGGAACCAGGGCUGGAAAAACCUUGGAUCACUGCUAUUCUAACUUCCGCGACGCAUAUAAGGCCCUGCCCCGCCCUCCUUUCGGAAAAGCUGACCACGACUCCAUUUUGUUGAUCCCUGCCUACAGACAGAAACUAAAACAAGAAGCUCCCGCGCUGAGGUCUGUUCAACGCUGGUCCGACCAAUCUGAUUCCACACUCCAAGACUGCUUCCAUCACGUGGACUGGGAUAUGUUUCGUAUUGCGUCUGACAACAACAUUGACGAAUAUGCUGAUUCGGUGAGCGAGUUCAUUAGAACCGGAAACAUGACCGAAUACAAACAGUGUAACUAUUCCCUCCGCAAGGCAAUCAAACAAGCUAAGCGUCAGUAUAGAGACAAAGUAGAAUCUCAAUUCAACGGCUCAGACACAAG
RNAcentral lists this long non-coding RNA (1195 nucleotides) under Oncorhynchus kisutch (coho salmon). Its description in RNAcentral is "lncRNA (ENSOKIG00005028790.1)". Lineage: Eukaryota; Metazoa; Chordata; Actinopteri; Salmoniformes; Salmonidae. The record is from RNAcentral.